UACGAAGGGUGCAAGCGUUGUUCGGAAUAACUGGGCGUAAAGGGCGUGUAGGCUGUUUUAUACGUCAGAUGUGAAAGUCCUGGGCUCAACCUGGGGAUUGCAUUUGAUACGGUAAAACUAGAGGUUAUGAGGGGAGAAUGGAAUUGCUCGUGUAGAAGUGAAAUUCGUAGAUAUGAGCAGGAACACCAAUGGCGAAGGCAAUUCUCUGGUAUUAACCUGACGCUGAGGCGCGAGAGCGUGGGGAGCAAACAGG
RNAcentral lists this ribosomal RNA (253 nucleotides) under uncultured bacterium. Its description in RNAcentral is "partial 16S ribosomal RNA". It matches the Rfam family "Bacterial small subunit ribosomal RNA", at positions 524 to 776 of the family's 1533-position model. The record is from RNAcentral.